Molecule: long non-coding RNA, 1588 nt
Organism: Pygocentrus nattereri (red-bellied piranha)
Lineage: Eukaryota; Metazoa; Chordata; Actinopteri; Characiformes; Serrasalmidae
Source: Ensembl
AUGGCCCGUCUCAAACAUGUGCGUCCAAAUAGGAGCAGAGGAGCUGGUUCGGGGGGGAAAGUAAACGUCGCAGCCCCCGAGUCGAGAGUGAGCCGCAGCAUGACUCCAAUGAGGAUCUCUAGAGAUCUGCCGUCGUAUUUACAUAAAAUGCGGCGGAAUAAUGGUUUGGACCUUCAAGGAAGAGGAGUUAUGAAGCUGCAUGGAAGACGGUUCGAAGGCCGUAGAGUUUACAGUAAGGGAACAGUGACUCCCAGCACUAAGGACCCCAGCCAAGACAGCACAAGUAUGAUUAUGCCCUCUGGUGUGUCCAGCUUUUUGUUGGAUUGUAUGGAUUCGGACUCAGAAGCAGAGGACACACUUCCUUCCAUUGAGAUGGUUCGCAAAGCUGAUAGUUAUGACGAGGGCACAGCUUUGGUCAGUGAAGAUGAAAUACUGCACCGCCACAUUAAGAACUCGACUCUUCUCGACCUCAGUCAUGCGGUGGACAUAGCCAUGCAACAACCCCCAAACCUCUCCUCCAUUCUAGAGCUCUCACCUGUACUUCAUGGGCAAGCUGCAAAGGAAUGGUUUUGUCUAUCACCCUUUAGCCCCUCACCUUUGACUAAAUCAGCAUCAACCAAGAAUACAGCAGGAAGCAACUACAAAACAUUUGGAGCUGAAGAAAGGACUCCUGAAACGAAGAGGGUGGUUGUUCUUUCUCCUGUUGUGAAAAGAAGGCCUCUGACUGGACAAGACAAGCCCAUGAAAUGCAGAAAGAAGGCUGAACUGAGAGGGAACACAGUGAUUGGCGAGAGGGAAGAGUUAAUGGAGCCCCAGGAGCUUUCCUCAGAGACAGCCAAGUUUUUUGACUUUGCUGAUGAAAGUGAGAAGCAACUUUUCUUCCAAAGAUUGAAAAGGACUUGCACCUUCCACUUCCCGACCAAACCGAUAACCUUCACAGACUUUCCCCAGACUGAGGAUGUCAGAAGCUAAGUUUAUGACUUCAGGACAGAAGACUGAUGCACCAUGAGUUGAGAGUUCAGUGGAGUCCGACUCUAAACAUGGAGAGAACAUUUAUUUGUGAUUUAAAAAGUUGACGGCGCUUCCUAAGAGAAACUCUUCUCUACUGUAAUUAUUGUAAAUGAUACUUUUUCAUUUGGAAACAAUACAUCGUUUUGUGUCCUGUUGUCUUGUUACGUCUUUCAUUAUCCUUAAAAUGUUUUUAAAAUGAAUCUAUAGAUGGUCAGUUGUCUUCAGUUGACUGCUGGCGCAGUGGUGUCGUUGUGAAGAAAAGAAUUUCCUGUAAGAGAAAAUUAAAUGACUAAGAUGAAUAAAUAGAAUUAUAAAAUUAACCCCCAGCAAUUGUUUUUUUUUUCUUGGAAACCAUAAAAAGCAUGGUGUUUUUAUAUAUUUUGUAGAUGGAUUUUGGGGAAAUGUGGGGGAAAAUUGCAAACAGACUUUUAGAAAUAAAGGUACAGUGCAGGUACUUUUUCUUUUUCAAGGUACAAACAAUGUAAAUGUACCACAAAGGUACAACAGUGGUUUUAAGGUCCAAGUGUUUUCGUAAGCUACCGUUUUAAAACAUUACAAAAUAAAAUAAAUAGCCUGG